UACAGAGGGUGCGAGCGUUGUCCGGAAUCACUGGGCGUAAAGGGCGCGUAGGUGGCGACCCAAGUCGAUGGUGAAAGCUCGCCGCUCAACGGCGAGUCGGCCACCGAUACUGGGUUGCUCGAGCACUGUAGAGGCUAAUGGAAUUCCGGGUGUAGCGGUGGAAUGCGUAGAGAUCCGGAAGAACACCGGUGGCGAAGGCGGCACCCUGGGUCUGACCUGACACUGAUCCGCGACAGCAUGGGGAGCGAACGGG
This 253-nucleotide ribosomal RNA is filed under the name uncultured bacterium. RNAcentral describes it as "partial 16S ribosomal RNA". It matches the Rfam family "Bacterial small subunit ribosomal RNA", at positions 524 to 776 of the family's 1533-position model. The record is from RNAcentral.